Molecule: non-coding RNA, 3618 nt
Organism: Miniopterus natalensis
Lineage: Eukaryota; Metazoa; Chordata; Mammalia; Chiroptera; Miniopteridae
Source: RefSeq, a predicted model, not a curated record
AAACAAAAAUAAACACACACACACACACGCAAAGCCUAGGGGAAACAUUCAAGUAACAGAUCAAGGCACUGAAAUAAAAGUUUAAGCAAUGGUAAUCCUAAUUAUUAUCAUUAAGUAAAAGCAAUUUUUUACCACAUUGUUGUAAGAGGGUGGUGACUCCAUAGUAAAUGAGAACUGAGGCCUGAAUAUUAAUAGGACUGACUUUCUGCCAACAUGGCCCUUGCUCUGAGGGCCUGGCUUCUUGUUAAGUGAUGGCCUGUGGCUCCCAGUGCAGGCUGGGCUCUGGCCUCUGGGCCUGAGGGAAAUGGGGUUGCUUUGAAACCCAGUGUUCUUAAUGAAGCAGUUCCUGACCCUGAAAUGUGCGAGAGAAUAACCUAGAAGUGCGAUGAAAAACUGGUCUAUUGAAAAGUUAGUGACACUUCCAGGGUUGAUUUUAAAAUAAUAGAUUUGUUUUAUUUUGGUAAAUGAUUUAAUAAAACAUAACGUCAAAGAAAUUAUCCAGUGUGUUUCAUGUCCUGCAGCCUGGAAUAUCUAAACUGUAUGCUUAUAAAUGAACAUCAUUAUUAGUGAAAUUUUAUUGCAAAAUUUGGCCUGGAAUAUUUUGGGGGUGUCAGACUUUUAGGCGCUAUCACAGAAAUUGGCAAGAUUCAAGGGAUUGUUACUGAUUUAAUAACAUUUUUCUUUAUUGUCCCCAUAAUCACCUGCUUUAUAAACUGUGGCUACAGCUGAUGUUGCAACCGGUAAUUUUCUUAGAACCCAAAUGCAUUUACAUUUUUCCAUCUUUUGAUUUCCAUCAUUUCUGGAAGUUGUUAGUAGAUGGAAUAAAAAGAAAAUACAUUAUAAACAAUUCAAAACACCAAAAACAAAAUUCCUUGGACCUUUUCCAGAUACCACACAUGCAAAUAAAUGUGGCUUUGCAUUCCAAAGGCAUUCAAGUGGGGAUUGCAUUUUCCUCAUUAACCUCUUUUUUUUAAUCCAAACAGUAUUGUUUUUCAAGCCGUUUUAUCAAAAUCCAGUUUGACCUUUGAAAUCCAUUCACACCGACUCUAAGUGAAGAGCUACAAUGUCGUCUUUUGCUCCGCAAUCACUUGUGCAAUCCUGGUUGAACUGUGCCAAAGUGGGAACACCUGCCUACCAGUUUAGGAUGAAAUCAGGAGACUGGUUGUAUUGCACACAAAACCGAAACAUUAGAGGUACCAAGUAUGGUUUUUCCUGCACUACGAAAGAAAGGUGGAAAAAGCCAUCCAUGCAGUCCACCUGAGAUCUGAACACGCUUGCUAUCCUGUGGAAAACCAUUUACAAAAUGAAUGUACUUAUUUCUAAUAGAAGGAACACCCAAUCCGUUCUCAAUCAGCCAUAACCAAUGAUUCUUCCCCUAAUAUGUGGACCUGAAUUUGAAGCAGUGGGACUCUUCUCUUUCCCUCAGGAGAAUCAACAGAAUUAUUUAGAAAGACGGAAUGAUUUUGGUAGAAGCAGAAAUGUAACUUGCAUUUUUUGGUAACUUCUGUAAACACUUUCGCAUGGACCUGCCAUUUUUGCCCUGAUACAGAACAAAAGUGUAUGUUGUUUUCAGUGCUGAUAUUUGGCAGUGGAUGGUGAAACAUUUGUGUGUAUUUAAGUAUGUCCGUCUGAGUAAAAUGAAAGAGACAUUAAAAUCACUCUCAGUCUGGAGUGAGAGUUAAGUCAACCAAUUCUAGGAAACUCUGGAUCGGCUGUCUUCACUGCGCUGUGAGCUUAGUUUUGUCAGUUUUCUUUUUCAUCCCACCAUCUUCUCGUGCAUUGUUUUCAGGCUCCUGCAAUCCCAGCUCAAGAUGGCCUGAGUUAGAGUUGGAGAGAGAACCAGCACUAGUUUUCAUAGUAUCCACAGUUUCAAGACACACCCUAUAAUGUUAUUUGACACCAUUUUCUACAUGUGCUUUCUUUAGAAAGUGGAAAAAUACGUUAUUGAGAGUUUGUCAGCUGAAACCAUAUUGCAAAACAUUUGCAAAACUGAAUUAUUGACAAAAAUGCAUGUGAUUCCAAAAGGGCUUGAGUGAUUGAAAGCAGUUGCAGUAUUUCAACAUGAGAAUAUUGCUUGUCCUUUCUGUUGUCUGUUUUCGGAUUCCUACGGAGCAUACCUCUGGACUCCUACUGUCCCCAGAUAGCAGUUUCUACGCAGCUAACUCAGACCAGAUUAGAGCUAGAGUUUUAGAGCACUGUUAUGACUUUGAUUCCUUGAGAAAGCAUUCAGGAACACGCAUCCUCCGGUUCCCCCAGUCAUCCCUAACUCAUAGGAGGCUGAAUUCCCCUGCGUGCCUGCAGCGUCUAACAGUGCCUACUAAUUGCAUAAUCCCAUCGUCUGUUCCCAGCAUAUGCUCCGAUGCCAAGGUGCAGCGAGGCCCUCGACAGAAAAUGGUCACCUGCCAUUGAAAGCUGCCUCUGUGUGGGCCCUGCUGCUUCGGGAGGGGAGAAUAUCCCAGCUCCCCACCGGCAGACGUUCAACUGAUGCACCUCCACCCCGAUACCUUGUGGAAACAGUUUGUGAAUGAAGAAGAAAAGCAUUUACCUAAGAGGGAAGAGAAGAUGGGAAGAAAACGUUGCUGUGGAUAUUUUUUCCCUUUUACUAAAAAGGCUAUAAGCCGCAUCUUUAUAAAGAACUCCACUUUUGGGUCACACGUUUCAGGCAAUGAUUUUACUCAGCAGCUCAUUGCAGCAGGGUCUCCUCCCUCUGGAAGCUGCAAGUAUGGGACAUAAGAUAAGAGAGUAACUGGCAUUAAACUACAAUUUUCAUUCGUCUUGCUGAAGAGAGUCUGGCUGGAGGAGCCAUAGGAGGCCGUGUCCCAAGCCUUUUAUCUGCUUGUUCAUUUGAACAAACUUACUUACAUGCACUGCUGUCGUUUUCAACUUCAAAUUCUCAGAGAUUGGACAACCAAUUUCUUCCUUCUGUUCCAGACUGAGGAAUCCUUUUUUGGUACUAAGGACAGAAAAGACUUGCUUUCAACAUCAGGCUACCUUCACCACUGAUGUUUAUGACCACUUGCUCAGCAACCAAAGACUAUUUGACAAAUCAGUGUGACUGAAACACCCAGUUGCCUGUGAGCUGAUCUCAUUUAGACUGCAAACUCCAGGAGGGAGGAAAAAGAAGCACAAGGAAUUGGCUCCACUCCGAGUCUCCUGAAAUGUGGGGAAACUCUUUUCUUUGCUGUGCCGUCAGAAGGUGGCCAGUGGUCAGGGGACUUCCCAUUAAAAGACUGCAAACUGUGACUCUCCCUCAAUGCUGGAAACAUGACUUCUGCAAAACAAUAUCUGCCCUCUCAUUAGAGAGAACAGCCAAGCAAAGCUCUGUUAGCUACUAGAGGAUCUUGCGACCCACAAAUAGACUUGCUUCUGUUUGUAGCUGGGGUGCUUUUGUGUGUUCCGCCUCUGCAAAGGGCCCCACGGCCCUCCUGAACAACUCGCAGGCAGCUCCUCACUGAGCAUCCCCAGACCGUCAUCUGAAUAAGUAUAUUCAAAGGAAUAUGAGGAAGAAAUGCGCUCACUUGAUUUUGGAAUGUUUGGAUUUCUGUUUCAAAACUUGAUUUUCUUACAGUCAGACAUAUUACAUUCUUUAUAUGGCUAAUAAAAAGAAAAUACAAUGUU